GACUGGAGGUUGUGCCCUUGAGGCGUGGCUUCCGGAGCUAACGCGUUAAGUCGACCGCCUGGGGAGUACGGCCGCAAGGUUAAAACUCAAAUGAAUUGACGGGGGCCCGCACAAGCGGUGGAGCAUGUGGUUUAAUUCGAUGCAACGCGAAGAACCUUACCUACUCUUGACAUCCAGAGAACUUUCCAGAGAUGGAUUGGUGCCUUCGGGAACUCUGAGACAGGUGCUGCAUGGCUGUCGUCAGCUCGUGUUGUGAAAUGUUGGGUUAAGUCCCGCAACGAGCGCAACCCUUAUCCUUUGUUGCCAGCGGUUAGGCCGGGAACUCAAAGGAGACUGCCAGUGAUAAACUGGAGGAAGGUGGGGAUGACGUCAAGUCAUCAUGGCCCUUACGAGUAGGGCUACACACGUGCUACAAUGGCGCAUACAAAGAGAAGCGACCUCGCGAGAGCAAGCGGACCUCAUAAAGUGCGUCGUAGUCCGGAUUGGAGUCUGCAACUCGACUCCAUGAAGUCGGAAUCGCUAGUAAUCGUAGAUCAGAAUGCUACGGUGAAUACGUUCCCGGGCCUUGUACACACCGCCCGUCACACCAUGGGAGUGGGUUGCAAAAGAAGUAGGUAGCUUAACCUUCGGGAGGGCGCUUACCACUUUGUGAUUCAUGACUGGGGUGAAGU
This 671-nucleotide ribosomal RNA is filed under the name Enterobacter sp. RNAcentral describes it as "bacterial SSU rRNA". It matches the Rfam family "Bacterial small subunit ribosomal RNA", at positions 814 to 1486 of the family's 1533-position model. Lineage: Bacteria; Pseudomonadati; Pseudomonadota; Gammaproteobacteria; Enterobacterales; Enterobacteriaceae. The record is from RNAcentral.